UGGGGAAUAUUGGACAAUGGGGGGAACCCUGAUCCAGCCAUGCCGCGUGUGUGAAGAAGGCCUUAUGGUUGUAAAGCACUUUAAGCGAGGAGGAGGGUACUGGUAUUAAUACUACCAGGUACUGGACGUUACUCGCAGAAUAAGCACCGGCUAACUCUGUGCCAGCAGCCGCGGUAAUACAGAGGGUGCGAGCGUUAAUCGGAAUUACUGGGCGUAAAGCGUUCGUAGGCGGCUAAUUGAGUCGGAUGUGAAAUCCCCGAGCUUAACUUGGGAAUUGCAUUCGAUACUGGUUAGCUAGAGUGUGGGAGAGGAUGGUAGAAUUCCAGGUGUAGCGGUGAAAUGCGUAGAGAUCUGGAGGAAUACCGAUGGCGAAGGCAGCCAUCUGGCCUAACACUGACGCUGAGGUACGAAAGCAUGGGGAGCAAACAGG
Molecule: ribosomal RNA, 430 nt
Filed under: Pseudomonadota bacterium
Lineage: Bacteria; Pseudomonadati; Pseudomonadota
Description: Proteobacteria bacterium partial 16S ribosomal RNA
Rfam family: Bacterial small subunit ribosomal RNA
Source: RNAcentral